Molecule: transfer RNA, 73 nt
Filed under: Brucella suis bv. 1
Lineage: Bacteria; Pseudomonadati; Pseudomonadota; Alphaproteobacteria; Hyphomicrobiales; Brucellaceae
Description: tRNA-Gly
Rfam family: tRNA
About the family: Transfer RNA (tRNA) molecules are approximately 80 nucleotides in length. Their secondary structure includes four short double-helical elements and three loops (D, anti-codon, and T loops).
Source: RNAcentral
GCGGGUGUAGCUCAGGGUAGAGCACAACCUUGCCAAGGUUGGGGUCGAGGGUUCGAUCCCUUCGCCCGCUCCA